AUUGAACGCUGGCGGCAUGCCUUACACAUGCAAGUCGAACGGUAACAGGUCUUCGGAUGCUGACGAGUGGCGAGCGGGUGAGUAAUACAUCGGAACGUGCCUAGUAGUGGGGGAUACUACUCGAAAGAGUGGCUAAUACCGCAUGAGAUCUACGGAUGAAAGCAGGGGAUCGCAAGACCUUGUGCUACUAGAGCGGCCGAUGGCAGAUUAGGUAGUUGGUGGGAUAAAAGCGUACCAAGCCGACGAUCGGUAGCUGGUCUGAGAGGACGAUCAGCCCCACUGGGACUGAGACACGGCCCAGACUCCUACGGGAGGCAGCAGUGGGGAAUUUUGGACAAUGGGCGCAAGCCUGAUCCAGCAAUGCCGCGUGCAGGAUGAAGGCCUUCGGGUUGUAAACUGCUUUUGUACGGAACGAAUAGCCCUGGGUUAAUACCCUGGGGUCAUGACGGUACCGUAAGAAUAAGCACCGGCUAACUACGUGCCAGCCGCCGCGGUAA
This 497-nucleotide ribosomal RNA is filed under the name uncultured bacterium. Its description in RNAcentral is "partial 16S ribosomal RNA". It matches the Rfam family "Bacterial small subunit ribosomal RNA", at positions 30 to 523 of the family's 1533-position model. The record is from RNAcentral.